UACAGAGGUCUCAAGCGUUGUUCGGAUUCAUUGGGCGUAAAGGGUGCGUAGGUGGCGUCGUAAGUCAGGUGUGAAAUCUCGGGGCUUAACUCCGAAACUGCAUUUGAUACUGCGGUGCUUGAGGACUGGAGAGGAGACUGGAAUUUACGGUGUAGCAGUGAAAUGCGUAGAGAUCGUAAGGAAGACCAGUGGCGAAGGCGGGUCUCUGGACAGUUCCUGACACUGAGGCACGAAGGUCAGGGGAGCAAACGGG
RNAcentral lists this ribosomal RNA (253 nucleotides) under uncultured bacterium. Its description in RNAcentral is "partial 16S ribosomal RNA". It matches the Rfam family "Bacterial small subunit ribosomal RNA", at positions 524 to 776 of the family's 1533-position model. The record is from RNAcentral.